Molecule: ribosomal RNA, 465 nt
Filed under: uncultured bacterium
Lineage: Bacteria
Description: partial 16S ribosomal RNA
Rfam family: Bacterial small subunit ribosomal RNA
Source: RNAcentral
CCUACGGGCGGCAGCAGUGGGGAAUAUUGCGCAAUGGGCGAAAGCCUGACGCAGCGACGCCGCGUGAGGGAUGAAGGUCUUCGGAUCGUAAACCUCUGUCAGCAGGGAAGAACGGUCACUGUGCUAAUCAGCAGUGAAUUGACGGUACCUGCAAAGGAAGCACCGGCUAACUCCGUGCCAGCAGCCGCGGUAAUACGGAGGGUGCGAGCGUUAAUCGGAAUUACUGGGCGUAAAGCGCUCGUAGGCGGUAUGUCAAGUCAAGGGUGAAAUCCCCGCGCUCAACGUGGGAACUGCCUUUGAAACUGGCAAACUGGAGUGUGGGAGAGGAUAGUGGAAUUCCAGGUGUAGGAGUGAAAUGCGUAGAGAUCUGGAGGAACAUCAGUGGCGAAGGCGACUAUCUGGCACAUAACUGACGCUGAGGAGCGAAAGCGUGGGUAGCAAACAGGAUUAGAUACCCUGGUAGUC